UGUGCACUGAAUACUAAAAUGGGAGGAGCUGUUGACUUCUCUGAGGAUAGAAAGUCCUUACAGAGAGAUGCUGAUAAACUGGAUGAGUAGGCAAUCACCAACCAGAUGAAGUUUAAAAAGAGCAAGUGCCGGAUUCUGCACCUGGGAUGGAGCAAUCCUGGAUAUAUAUACUGAGUGGGGGACGAGAGCCUGGAGCAGCCCCACGGAAAGGGAUAUGGGGGUUCUGGCUGACAGCAAGUUAGUUACGUAGUCAGAGGAGUGCCCCAACAGCCAAAAGAAAUCAGAUGUGCCAUGCAGAUGGAUCAACAAAAUGUGUGGUGGACUCAGCAAGAGGGUGCCAGGCUACUAUUGGGAUAUCAAAGUAAUUAUCUCCUCCAAGGAAGAGGAAGUAUCCAUUACUGGUCAAUCUAUUCCAAAGUUCCUUUGGUAUCAGUCAGCGUUUAUGGAGAAAUAAUUAGUUUAUCGUAGUAAACUGAAGGGAUGAAUAUGCCACUGUAAAACUAGAAAUGAAGUUAUGAAGACAGAAAACACACCACCUACAUACUAGAAUUCAGCUGCAUCCUCACGUAUCUAUGUCUCUGGUGCCCCCCGCCCCAGCACAACAUCCAACCACAAGAGACGCAAGCUGACUGCAAUGUGUCCUCAUUCAUCUGGAAAUCCGACCAGCACGCUCUCUGCUGUGGGAACGGCAGAGCUGAUUCCCACCACGUCUCCCAAGCCGGUCGGUUCUCCUUUUGUGAGCUGCAGAACUCCGUAAACGAUACGCCUGUUAAACUUGUUAGCGCCGCGCACAGCGGGCGGAGCGGAGGACAGCGCGGCCGCCCUCACCACAGAUCGCC
This 839-nucleotide long non-coding RNA is filed under the name Gallus gallus (chicken). RNAcentral's name for it is "lncRNA (ENSGALG00010006386.1)". The record is from RNAcentral. Lineage: Eukaryota; Metazoa; Chordata; Aves; Galliformes; Phasianidae.